This 253-nucleotide ribosomal RNA is filed under the name uncultured bacterium. RNAcentral's name for it is "partial 16S ribosomal RNA". It matches the Rfam family "Bacterial small subunit ribosomal RNA", at positions 524 to 776 of the family's 1533-position model. The record is from RNAcentral.
UACGUAGGGGGCUAGCGCUGUCCGGAAUCAUUGGGCGUAAAGCGCGUGUAGGCGGUCCGGUAAGUCCGCUGUGAAAGUCGGGGGCUCAACCCUCGAAUGCCGGUGGAAACUGUCGGGCUAGAGUACGGAAGAGGCGAGUGGAAUUCCUGGUGUAGCGGUGAAAUGCGCAGAUAUCAGGAGGAACACCAAUUGCGAAGGCAGCUCGCUGGGACGUUACUGACGCUGAGACGCGAAAGCGUGGGGAGCAAACAGG